This is a long non-coding RNA of Zalophus californianus (California sea lion), 4848 nucleotides long. RefSeq lists it as uncharacterized. NCBI's taxonomy places the organism in Eukaryota, Metazoa, Chordata, Mammalia, Carnivora, Otariidae. The transcript is spliced from 3 exons. The record is from RefSeq and is a predicted model, not a curated record.
UCAUACUGUUUCUCUCUCUCUCUCUCCCUCUCAAAUAAAUAAAUAAAUAAAUAAAUAAAAUCUUUUAAAAAAAUAGCAGUUUAACCACACUGUGGACCAAGUGCAUUUUUCUUGGCUACUCUACGAACUGAAAUGUAAUUUUUAACAAUUAUAUAGGAAAACAAGUUCUGAUUUAUGAAUAUUUUUGUUUUCUGAAUUGGUAGUACUAUCAAAAUUCCACCUCCUCCUUUUAAAUAUAUAUAGGACUUCUUUGUUUUCCAGUUACAUUGCAUCUAAUACCUCCAGAACAAUACUUAAUAAUGGACUGUUCUUGACUUUAAUAUUUUCUCAUCUGCUGGCUUUUGGGUUGCAACAUAAAACUUUAUGGUAUUAGAGAAAUUCCUGUUACUUUCUUUUUAGCAUCUAUGAAUAUGAUCAUAUAAUUUCUUUCAUCUACUGAUGUAACAAACUGCGAAACUGACCCGUCCUCUAAGGCAGUGUGUGCAUAUGCCAUCUUGUAGAUAGAAUUUGGAAGAUUCCAAAUGGAGCUUCUUUGAAUAACCCACUGGUAAAUUUCUUCUGGAAGGCAUGUACACCAAUGUUAACUGUUCUGUUGCUACAUCUUCCACCUUCUACUUACAUAGCACUUUCAAUUUUGAGAUCACUCUCAAAUACAUUAGACCACUUGGUUUUCCACAGCAUUACUAACCAGAGAGCAGGAAUAAGCCCUCUUUUGUAAAUAAGAAAACAAAGGCACAUCCAGUGGCCCAUCUGUGGUCUCUGACUUCUAUUUCCAAGUUUUUCCCAUUAAACCACUGUUGUCUUUUUAGUGCUCAGGAUAAAAUGGUUCAGUAGGUCAUGGGCAUGAAUAAACAAUGUCAUUAUAUUGUUCAAGAAUACUGCAUCUGAGGGGGUGCCUGGCUGGCUCAGUCAGCAGAGCAAAGCAUGCAACUUUCAACCUCAGGGAUGUGAGUUCAAGCCCCACACUGGGCACGGAGACCAAAAAACAAACAAACAAAAAAAACAUGGCAUCCGAAUUAUAGAUACAGCUAAUGUUGUAGGAACUUAGGAAAAUAAAACUGUGGACCUAAGGGUGACAUAAAUUUUAUAAUGCAGGGGGUAUGACCAGAUUUGCUUUCUAGAGAGUUUUCUGGCUCUCAGCGUGGGAGAGUGGUGUCACCCAAACCCAGGGAAAGAUGGAAAGGGCAACAGUAAGACACGCCAUUGGGAGAUCAAAUAGGAGACCGAAAACUAACUGCUGGAUUUAAUGAGCGAUCCCUGGGGCCCAGGACGGUUGUGGUGGAGUAGUGAAAAUAAGCAGCAGCCAACCUGCAAAAGACUGGAGAGAGUAAGAGGGAACAAGUUGAUGAAAACAACGGAUAACUCUUUAAAACAAGUCUUAUUAUAAAGAGCACAAGAGGGCAAGCAAAUGUGGGGUAGAAGGAAGGUUUCUUUUUAAAGAUGAGAGUGAUCUGAGCAUGAAGGGAAAAAAUACGGGGAGCAGGAGAGGCUAAAGUGGAGGAAUAAUGAAACAGAAUGCCUGGAGUUAGGGGAGGGAACCAGAGUCAGUGAUGGGGGAGCCGGGGACAGUAUGACCUCCUUGUCCACCCCGAGAGGUGAGAAAGGGUGCAUGCGGGUGGCGAUCAGGCAUCCAGAAUGGGGCUCUCCCAAUGACUGCUGCUGUCCGACAUGGCAGCCUCUCGCCACAUGCGGCUGCCCCAACACGUACUAACAGUAUAAAAAGCGCACGAAGGUUCGAGGACUUGGUAGGGGGAAAAGCAUCUUGUUAGUAUUUCUGAUAUUGAUGACAUGCUAAAAUGAUAUUUUAUAUACACUGGGGAAACAGAUAUUAAAAUUAAUUUCACCUAUUUCUUUUUACCUUUUUAAACGAGGCUACUAGAAUAUUUAAGAUUAGAUAUAAAGUUUGCAUUCUUAUCUCUACUGGAUUGUGCUGCGCAAUAAUCUUUUUGUUGCUGCAGGGAAGGUUAAGUGGAGUUUGACAUAUUUAAUAAAGUAAAUUAAGAAGCCAAGAAGACAGAGUCCUAAUUCAGAACACACUUAGAACUUAAGACUGGUCCUGGAAAAUCCUCCAUGGAGUUCUACUUUCUAAAUUUUAUCAUUUUUUAUAAAAUCAACAUGAAUUGAUACUUGUUCAAUACAUUGAGCUCACUGUGGAAUUUCUGAAAAUGCAAAAGAAAACCCAUCAACAGUUCCACUAGAAUGGGCAAUAUUUUGGUGAAUAUUCUUACUGAUAUCUCUAUGCAAUUCAGAGGUCUAAACUUUAUUACAUUUAUAUGCAUGUGAUCUUACUAUAUACAUUCCUUUCUGUAACCUUUUUUCCCUCAGAAUGAGUUACAGACAUUUUCUAUAUAAUUAUGGAUUCCUUAGCACCCUCACCCCCUAUAUAGCCAUUAUCAUGUUGCCAAUCCACCCCUGACAGAAUUUAUUUCCAAUCUGUCACUAACAGACUAAUGCUAAAAAUUGUUAUACUUUCCUUCCCCUCAAAUAAAUAUAAAUAUUUCCUUAAGAGAUGAUCUUACAGGGAGGAUGGGGGAAUAGCUAAUAUUUUGAUAUAUGUAUCUGUCCAACUACUCUCCAGAAACUGACAUAUUAACUAUGAAUAAUGCUUAAAUGACACUACAUACCAGGUACUGUCUAAACAACUAAGAUAGAUUAACUCAUUUUAAGAACCCUAUGUGGUAUGUAUCAUCAUACCCAUUUUUAGACCAGGAAAUGGGAGCCACAGAAAGGGUAACUUGCCUAAGGCCACAUCAUUAUAAAGAGAUAGAACAUGGUUAUGCAAUCCAAAUUUUUAACCAAAGGCCUGGAGACUGCAUUAAUAUAAUCCCAAGGAGGGUCAUUAGGUAGAUUGUGGCAGAAUUGUUUUUUUUUUCCCUUCUCCUGUCAAUCAGGGACAGCAGGCUGUUACAAGCAGGCUGGAGUCGCCCAAGGGAUGGACCAUGAUUUUUUACCUCAGGAAUGUGCUUCCUUUCCAUACAAAGAUGGUCAUGACAUCAGAAUAACAUGGACUUGGGCUUUUUUUUCUUUUCCUAGUAACGUUGCUGGAGUUAUUUGUCUGUAAAUUUUGCCUAAUUCUCACAAGAGCCUCCCCUUUCUUAUAAAUGGCUCUCCAAUGGAAAUGUCUUGAUAAUAAAGAUUUGAGACCUAAAUUCCUUAAAAGGCAGUAUGACCUAGUAGGGCUAGAAAGAAAUUAAAUACUCAGGAAAACAGAUGAAAAGAUGUAUAAACGAAAGGAGCCAGUAACUACCCCCUAUGAAAACCCUCAAGAAAACAAAAAACCCCGGGGCCAUUUAAGAUGAUAAAGUAGGUCAAUCUCCAUCAAUAAUGUCCUGUUUCUGAAAUUCACAUCGCAGUUCCACUCACUGAUAAUGAGCACCCAUGGGAAACUGGAACAUCCGAGUGUCUAGAAUCUAUGUGAGCAGAUGGUUUUGCCAUCUGUGGCUCCCCGUUAUUCUUCCAGAGUAGUUAAGGAUGUUACAAAUCCACAUCAGCAACAUCUCUGUCCCACACCUGCUAGCAAGAGUACAUGAUCCCAAAGCAGUCCUCUAGAAACCAAGAGGGCUCCCAAAAAAUGGUUGACUACAUGUAUUCAAAUAAUGAGUUAAUUGACAGAAUCACAGACUUUCAGAGCCGAGUCUGAAUUCACCCGAAGCAAACUAAACAGACACUGCAAUCUUUUCCCCUCCUCUAUGUUCACUCUCUGCAGUCGUACAGCAAAUAUUUAUAUCUCGCUUACCCUCCUGAGACCUCUAUGGACUCGUGCAUCCUGACAACAACUCAGAGUGGGAGUACUAGCCCAGAGUGGUUAAGUAACUGGCUCCCGCUCACACAGCUAGUAAAUGCGGGUGCGGGCUGGGGCUCUGGUCUGGACCCAGAGCGUUCCAGUAACGUCGGUAAGAGCGCCCGGGCUGGGUGGGACCGAGGGGAGCCAGAAAAGAGACGGGAUCAUCCUCAACCUCACUGACUGUAGUUUCUAAAACAGACAUUUACGUAAUUCAUGGAAGUCUGCGUUCCAUUUAGUUUUUGAAAGUUCAAACACAUUUAAAGCGCUUUUGGAAGGCACCGUUCCCUAUCUCAGGCAACUCUUCGGUCUGAUUCCAGGGCUGGGUUUUUGAUAUUUCAGUUCUUCUCAUUAGUGGGGAUUCCAUAGAACAGGUGACGAGCUCGUGGCUGUGCCGCACGCACGCCGGCGUGAGGACAGCGGGCCCAGAACAAGGGAGCACUGACCCUGACCCUCUCAGGUCGCCCGCGGCCUCAACCUCCGCCAGGAAUCAAGGAUGCUGGAAUGUUAUCUCAGAUCCUUUUUGGAAUGAGGCAGGGGAGAGAUGCGAGCAAGCAAGCACAUAAACAUCUUAUUUCUACCCAGGCUUGGCAGGCUGGGGACUCCGGCUGGACCUCUGAGAGGGCGACUGAAAGAGAAGGCCGGUUCUGAGGUCUUCCAGGCCAGCCCCCAGCCCCACCAGCGGGGCUCCCCAGAAGUGGUCCUGAAGCUAGCUCCACACCACGCUGACGUCCUCCCUUCCGCCGUCUUGCUGGUAGAACACCCUGGUCUCUCUCCAGUCCCCUCUCUGCCCAGCCCAAAGCCUACACUCAGAUGAGGGCCCGAGGUCAUGGUAGCAUCCUGACCCCCCGCUGCUGCUUGGGACAUCUUUUCGCACAGCUUGCUGCCACCCUCACUCCCUCGUUCCCUCACCAGAGGGCGCACUCCUUGGCACCUGGCCGGUUGACCAGAACCCAAAGGGUGGAGACACAGCUCACUUAUUACAGCCUGAGGGCCUGGAGCAGGCCUGUGGUAGGCACUUGGAAAUAAGGUGAUGAAUUGAAAUGAUGGCAGAAUAUAAAUGUUCA